GGCUAGGGGUUGUGGCUCAGUGGUAGAUCAUCUGCUUUGCAUGCAGGAAGCCCAAAGUUCAACCCUUGGCCUAGAAUCUCCCA
Molecule: transfer RNA, 83 nt
Filed under: Sphaerodactylus townsendi
Lineage: Eukaryota; Metazoa; Chordata; Lepidosauria; Squamata; Sphaerodactylidae
Description: tRNA-Ala
Rfam family: tRNA (bases 6-67)
About the family: Transfer RNA (tRNA) molecules are approximately 80 nucleotides in length. Their secondary structure includes four short double-helical elements and three loops (D, anti-codon, and T loops). Further hydrogen bonds mediate the characteristic L-shaped molecular structure. tRNAs have two regions of fundamental functional importance: the anti-codon, which is responsible for specific mRNA codon recognition, and the 3' end, to which the tRNAs corresponding amino acid is attached (by aminoacyl-tRNA synthetases). tRNAs cope with the degeneracy of the genetic code in two manners: having more than one tRNA (with a specific anti-codon) for a particular amino acid; and 'wobble' base-pairing, i.e. permitting non-standard base-pairing at the 3rd anti-codon position.
Source: RNAcentral